RNAcentral lists this ribosomal RNA (427 nucleotides) under uncultured Acidobacteriota bacterium. RNAcentral describes it as "bacterial SSU rRNA". It matches the Rfam family "Bacterial small subunit ribosomal RNA", at positions 958 to 1385 of the family's 1533-position model. Lineage: Bacteria; Pseudomonadati; Acidobacteriota. The record is from RNAcentral.
AACGCGAAGAACCUUACCUGGGCUUGAACCGCACAGGACCAUUCCUAGAAAUAGGGACUUCCCGCAAGGGACCUGUGUAGAGGUGCUGCAUGGCUGUCGUCAGCUCGUGCCGUGAGGUGUUGGGUUAAGUCCCGCAACGAGCGCAACCCUUACUCGUAGUUGCCACCCGCAAGGGGGAACUCUACGAGGACUGCUCCGGAUAACGGAGAGGAAGGUGGGGAUGAGGUCAAGUCAGCAUGGCCUUUAUGUCCAGGGCUACACACGUGUUACAAUGCGCGCUACAAUGCGUCGCGAACCCGCGAGGGGGAGCUAAUCGCAAAAAAGCGCGCUCAGUUCGGAUUGCAGUCUGCAACUCGACUGCAUGAAGCUGGAAUCGCUAGUAAUGGCGCAUCAGAACGGCGCCGUGAAUACGUUCCCGGGCCUUGUA